AGCAGCCGCGGUAAUUCCAGCUCCAAUAGCGUAUAUUAAAGUUGUUGCAGUUAAAAGCUCGUAGUUGAAUUUCGGGGUUAGUAGGUUGGUCAUGCCUCUGGUAUGUACUGGUCUCACUGAUUCCUCCUUCCUGAUGAGCCGUAAUGCCAUUAAUUUGGUGUUGCGGGGAAUUUGGACUGUUACUUUGAAAAAUUGAGUGUUUAAAGCAAGCUAACGCUUGAAUACAUUAGCAUGGAAUAAUGAAAUAGGACGUUCGAUCCUAUUUUGUUGGUUUCUAGGAUUGACGUAAUGAUUAAUAGGGAUAGUUGGGGGCAUUAGUAUUCAAUUGUCAGAGGUGAAAUUCUUGGAUUUAUUGAAGACUAACUACUGCGAAAGCAUUUGCCAAGGAUGUUUUCAUUAAUCAAGAACGAAAGUUAGGGAUCGAAGACGAUCAGAUACCGUCGU
Molecule: unclassified non-coding RNA, 444 nt
Filed under: uncultured Glomus
Lineage: Eukaryota; Fungi; Glomeromycota; Glomeromycetes; Glomerales; Glomeraceae
Description: SSU rRNA
Rfam family: Eukaryotic small subunit ribosomal RNA
Source: RNAcentral